AUUGAACGCUGGCGGCAUGCCUUACACAUGCAAGUCGAACGGUAACGGGCCUUCGGGUGCCGUCGGGUGGCGGACGGGUGCGUAAUACAUCGGAACGUGCCCGAUCGUGGGGGAUAACGAGGCGAAAGCUUUACUAAUACCGCAUACGAUCUACGGUUGAAAGCCGGGUGCUUCAAGGCUUUACGCGGGCGUUGCGGCCGCUGGCAGAUUAGGUAGUUGGUAGGAUAAAAGCUUACCAAGCCGACGAUGUGUAGCUGGUCUGAGAGGAUGAUCCGCCACACUGGGACUGAGACACGGCCCAGACUCCUACGGGAGGCAGCAGUGGGGAAUUUUGGACAAUGGGCGAAAGCCUGACCGAGCCAUGCCGCGUGAAGGAUGAAGGCCUUCGGGUUGUAAACUGCUUUUGUACGGAAAGAAAAGCCUUCUUUUAAUACAGGAGGGUCAUGACGGUACCGUAAGAAUAAGCAACGGCUAACUACGUG
This 482-nucleotide ribosomal RNA is filed under the name uncultured bacterium. RNAcentral's name for it is "partial 16S ribosomal RNA". It matches the Rfam family "Bacterial small subunit ribosomal RNA", at positions 30 to 507 of the family's 1533-position model. The record is from RNAcentral.